Molecule: long non-coding RNA, 3468 nt
Organism: Mesoplodon densirostris (Blainville's beaked whale)
Lineage: Eukaryota; Metazoa; Chordata; Mammalia; Artiodactyla; Ziphiidae
Exons: 4
Source: RefSeq, a predicted model, not a curated record
GUAAUGCGUGCUGGAGAACGUAGUCCCCCAGGUUCCCGUUUGGUCCUAGCCUGCCUCACUUUCGUCAAGAGAACUUUCCCAUCUAGUUCUGCCUGUUGAAGAAGGGACUCCUUACAGAGAGGCUCAGACCAUGCUGUCCACAGUCCAAGGCUGCCCUAGGCCGCACUGCACAGCUUGCAGGAUUCUAGUUCCCUGACCAGGGACUGAUCCCAGGCCUUCAGCAGUGAAAGCAUGGAGUCUUAACCACUGGACCGCCAGGGAAUUCUCAUGAAGAGAUAACGUUUAAACAUGCCAGAGCCUGAAGUGGGUGAUCAAUAAACGCUGGUGAUGAUCCUCCCCGGGAGGUGACGAGCUCAGGCCAGGAGGCCCUGGGAGAGAGUGCUGCGGGGAUGCCAGGGGUCCACACCUGGGAAGACGAAGAUGAAGCAGGCGGCCAGCCCUCCAAUGACCGAGAUGACCUUGCCGAUGUCAGGGAUGAAGAGCGCCAGCAGCAGGGUGAGCAGGAACCAGACCAGCGUCUGCAGUACUCGCCGCCGCCGCUCCCGCCCCACGUCCUCCUCCACCGGCAUCCCCUGGUAGCGCAGCCACAGGCCUUCGACCACCGCCCUGCCCACACAGAGAGCGGCUCAGAGGCGCCCCUGCUAACAGCUCCCCACCUCCAGCCAUGGAGCCAGACUCCUGACUGGGUGGAUUGUAGGUAAGACUCUAACCCCUGGGCCUCAGUUUCCUCUUCUUUGAAAUGGGCCUAGCAGCACUCUUCUCAGGGUUGCCGUGGGGACCGGACGGGAUGGUGAAUGUGAACGGCUUACUGCCUUGCCUGGCCCAGGGCUAGCACAACCCAUGGGAACAUAUACUACUAGUCUCCUGAAAAGGAAGGGUCUGGGGUACCCAGAAAGCAGGGUGUUCAGGAAAGGAUCUGGACUAGAGGUUCUCAGAGGACUCACAGAAUGUUCUGGUGACUCUGGGACAAAGGGGGCCCCCAAAGACCCAGCUGGGAGUACUUGCAGGGCCAUGUGAGGCACUGACUCUUUCCCCUGGGCUUCCGGUUCUCCUUCUAUAGAAUGGAUUCUACACAAGGCCCAUGUUCAAAGGGCUUUCAGGGGCCUUGGUGAAAGGGAGCACCCCGGCGGUGUGGAAAGGGGACUCACCGCCCACAGAAGUGCAGGAUGGGGUAGGAGGUUAGCACGCUCAGGAUGAUGAAGGCGCGGGCGACGGCCACAGCCAUGUCCUCCGACGGGUAGGACAGGAGCACAUCGGGGUCCACAGCAGCUCCAAAGGUCAGGAAGCCACAGAUGCCUGAGGGCACGGACAAGAGGGCUGGGUCCAGGUGACCCUCGGAGGGUUAGGGCCAUGGACCGUUCACCGCUGGGUCCAACAGCAGAUGGGGAGAUGACGAAGCAGCUCCGGAGGCUAAGAGUGAGGCUCAGAGGGGUGUUGAGGCUGGGAUCAGAAGCCUCCCUCCCUGACUUCUCACAUCUCCCACCCCCACACCGUCACCUUUCUGAUCUUGAACUCACCCAGCAGUUCCUGUCUCAGAGCUUCUGCAUUAACGUUCUGUCUGCCCAUCUCCUCAUCAUUCAGGUCUCAGCUCCUCAGAGAAUGCUUCCCCGCCCAGCCCAUCCACAAUAAUCCCUGCGCCCAGGCACUCCCUCACACCACCCUGUUCUGUGUUCUUCAGAGCACUCCUCUCUCUUGGAACUUUUUUUUUUUUUUUACUUGUUUAUUGUCUGUCUCCCUCAACCAGAACACGAGCCCCAGGAGAACGGGACUCUGCCUAUUUGCCACCCUUGUUCCUGGCUGUAUCUUCAGACACUAGAACAGUGCUGGUCCUGAGAACCAUCUGUGGAAGGAAUCACAGGGCCAUUCUUUGUGGUCUCCCAGUCCCGCUCCCUCACCCAAACCAUUUCCUACACAACACCCAGAGCCGUGUGUCCCCGAGCCACGCCCCUGCUGAAGCGCUUCCUCUCUGCCUCCCAACAGUCCUCAAGGAUCUGGCUGUGUUCCCUGUCUGGCCGUGCUGCCCGCCACCCACCCUCAACUCACUCCACUCCAGCUAUGCAGACCUUCUUCCGUCCCAGCCUCAGGGACUUGGCGUUUUCUGGUUCCUCUGUCUGGAAUGCUUUUCCCCCAGCUCUUCAGAUUCUAGCUCCUUCUCAUGAUUCGGCCUUCCCCAAUUGCUACCUCCUCAGAGAGGAGCCACCUGUGACCUACCCACCAAAGCCAGCCCCACUCAGUCCCACUCACAGCUUUCUGUUUCCCUGUUACCAUGGCACUCACCACUGUCUGGAUUUCCUUACUGAUUCCUGACUUGCUCCUGUAAGACUCUCUCUCCGACUAGAUUGUCAAUUCCAUGAGGGCAGGACCGGGUCUAUCUAUCUCCAUGGCAUCGCCCAUGCUGAGAAAGUUCCUGGGACUUACCAGGCACCCACUGAGAGCUGUUGAAUACAUCUUUCUCAUUUGGGCAGGAGGAGGCCCAAGGUGGCCCAAGUUCAAGCCAGUGCCUACAGAAGUGUUUGACGUGUUGGGAGUACAGGGCUGUCCCCGGGAAAUCCUGGGCCAGACGACUUGGGGACAAAGAGGGAAAGUGGGAGCCCUCUAAGCCCCGCCCGUGGAGGGAAGCACUCACCUGUGCCCAUGUAGACAGCGAGGGCUAUGACCAUGGCAGCUGUCACCACCCCACCCCAGGUCUUCACCUCGGGCCGCCGCAUGCUGUUGAAGACGGGUACACUGCUCACGUGGCACUGUCAGGGUGAAGGGCAGGGUCAUGGUGGGCAGUGACCUCACCCCCAAGGAUAAGGGGCAAGUCCUGGGGCCCCCACUCCGUCCUUCCUUCCAGGACUCCCCCAUCCUGCCUGUAACGUGGAUUCCAUCCCAGGAUGGGGAGUGAGCUAAGGGGACAAAAGGGACCUUGCAACUAGCACCUGAAAUCCGAAGCAGAUGGUGGGCAUGGCAUUGAACACGGCUAUCCAGGAAGCUGGCCUGCGGACAAACACACAAGAUGCUGCUGCCCGGGAACCCCUCAGGGUCAUCAACCGCUGCCAUGCUCUUACGCUUCAUUCAGCCCCCCACGGCCUCCACCAGCCAGCAUGCACACAUUCAACCCACAGAAGUCUGGGGACUGGGAGAGGACACAUCUCCAUUUACAGGUCAGUAAACUAAGACUCUGGAAGGCCCUCCUGGGACCAAACUCCAGAAUUUUUGGCUCUUGCACUUGGGCUUUUGCUUCUCUGAUUUGUUCCUUUCAAGAAAAAGGAAACUUUUUUUUUUUAAUUAAGAAAAUUGAUUCAUCCUCACAUGGAAGAUACAGAUAUUACAGAUAAGCACAUGUUGAAACAGAUGUGCAGUUCCACCUUGGCGGUUCCCAUAACCUGAGGCCUAGUCUCACAUUGGCUCAUCUGUUGGACAUUAGUGGCAAAGUCUCCCUCAUCUCCGGCUGUCACUCUUCUCUCCAGUAAAAAGAGAUCAGGA